This 207-nucleotide ribosomal RNA is filed under the name uncultured bacterium. RNAcentral's name for it is "partial 16S ribosomal RNA". It matches the Rfam family "Bacterial small subunit ribosomal RNA", at positions 1294 to 1500 of the family's 1533-position model. The record is from RNAcentral.
CGGAUUGUAGUCUGCAACUCGACUACAUGAAGCUGGAAUCGCUAGUAAUCGCGGAUCAGAAUGCCGCGGUGAAUACGUUCCCGGGUCUUGUACACACCGCCCGUCACACCAUGGGAGUUGGGAAUGCCCGAAGCCGGUGACCUAACCGAAAGGGAGGAGCCGUCGAAGGCAGGCUUGAUAACUGGGGUGAAGUCGUAACAAGGUAAC